Long non-coding RNA from Mus caroli (Ryukyu mouse), 569 nucleotides. RefSeq lists it as uncharacterized. The record is from RefSeq and is a predicted model, not a curated record. NCBI's taxonomy places the organism in Eukaryota, Metazoa, Chordata, Mammalia, Rodentia, Muridae.
UCACGAAGACCUUAUAUACUCGACUCAGCCGCCAUCUCAGCCUUUCGGAGCUGUGCGGCGCGCUGAGCAGGAAUGGCAAUGUGGACCUCUGAUGGAACAUCUGGUGGGAUCUCACAGUCAGUUCUGUGGCAAAGGAGGAUGAAGACUUAAAGAGGACUCAACAGGAAGCUGGAUAACAGAAAGAGAGCAAUGUGCUAGAAUAGAAGACCAGAAAAUGAAAGAUAUGAAAAAAAGGUGGAGUUUAAGGCUGGAUAUACAGCUUGAAAAUUACUGUGAUUGCAUGCUUGUUCAUUGGCUGGCUUGCUUGGGUACAAAUGAUGGUUUGAAUAAAGAAAGGUAUGAACGCAUGGGUCACUUCAAGUGAAGGCACUGCAAACACAAUGGAUCAGUCAUUCUGGAUUUCUGGUCCUUCUGAAUUUUAAAGGCUGCGGUGACAAGUGGACAUGCAGUGACUACCUUUUGUACCUUCCUGUUUCUGAGGUGCCUGGAUGGAGGUUCAAAUAGAAGAUAGUGUCAGAUAUACAUUGUGUUGUCAAAAUUUUACCAUUAAAGUGCAUUACAACAUGAAA